This 77-nucleotide transfer RNA is filed under the name Synergistaceae bacterium. Its description in RNAcentral is "tRNA-His". It matches the Rfam family "tRNA". From Rfam's summary of the family: Transfer RNA (tRNA) molecules are approximately 80 nucleotides in length. Lineage: Bacteria; Thermotogati; Synergistota; Synergistia; Synergistales; Synergistaceae. The record is from RNAcentral.
GUGAGCGUAGCUCAAUUGGUUAGAGCACCGGAUUGUGGAUCCGGAGGUCGGGAGUUCAAUUCUCCUCGCUCACCCCA